This 1259-nucleotide long non-coding RNA is filed under the name Panax ginseng (ginseng). RNAcentral describes it as "long non-coding RNA (PGIN_LNC014570)". The record is from RNAcentral. Lineage: Eukaryota; Viridiplantae; Streptophyta; Magnoliopsida; Apiales; Araliaceae.
UUUAUUUAUUUUUAGCCAAAUCGGUUAAGUUUAGAGAGAGAAAGAGAAAAGAGGAAAUAACAUAAGACACCCGUCUAUCAGAUGAGAAAUAAGAGGAAAGGUUAAGCAAAAACAAUUCAUUCCCCGAUAUGUCACCACUUCAUUCCAAAACAAGUCCCAAUUUUCUUCCUUUCUCUUUCAAUUGCCGAAAGCAUAGACUCCCCAAACCUUGUCAAAAAUUUCUUGGGUUCGGCUAUAAACUGGGAAUUCAUCAAAGGAAAUGAAGCUAUAAAACUGAAUCGAGAGUUAUUUACAGCAAUUAGCAAUCGGGGUCAAGAAAUAUUAUAUCAAUUGUUGUCCGCAAAGGGAUUGGAGUGGGAAUUUCAUUAAGUAAAAAACGGAGAGAAGGUCUCACUUGAUAACAAGGAGCAGAAAAGGCAAGAAGGCUUCUAGCUGGGAAACUAAGGAAGUGCAGUACAAACUAAUUGAAGAGAGCAUUCAAUUCAAUUUCAUAAGCAAGAAUUGAAUUAAACUUCAAACUAAAAAGGGGUUUAAACUCUUCCUUUCUAAAUUUAUAGAGUUUUUUUUUAAGUUUAAAUUGCAUCUAUGGUUGUGAAAGGUAAUUUAAAUGGAGGAAUCAAAUGGAUUCAAGAAUCAAAAGGAGGAAUUUAUUAGGAGAUGGCAUGAUUGCACGUUCAAACUCAUGUAAAUUCUAAGUUUUUAAGCCCAACACAAUAGGUGUUUGUUACAAUACCUAAAUAAAGCUAUUUUGUUAAAAUUUGAGAAUUUAUAGAUACUUUUGAUAAGUUAGUAUGGAGACAUGAAUUAUAAGUUAAUUUAAUCUGGUUGGAGGGUUGGAAAGGAGUUCAAAAUGGACUUUUGUGAAAGUUUUCUUAUGAAUUAAUUAAAACUAGAAAUCUUGUUACACUCAGAUUUUGAGCACUCUGUUUUAUACUUAAGUCCAGCCCUUAAAGUUAUAGUAAUAGUAGUGCCACGAGGGUACAACCCACUUUAUAGAUAUAUGAUCACUUGCAAGUUAGCAGUAGAUGUAGUUGAAACUUUGUUUUAAAAAAAUAGAGCUUGGAUCUUGAUCACAAUUAGCGAAAGGUAUGAAAUUGUUUUUAAUUUUGAGUUCUAGUAAGAAUUCAUGAUAUUAUAUAGAAAUAGAGUAAAGUUUGAAUUUUGGAAGUUUAGUUAGCUUUGAUGUAAAUUUAGACUAUUUUUCUUUAUAAUAAAUCAAGUUUUGAUCCUUGUAUAUGUAAUAUGACAUUAGAAAAGGG